AUUGAACGCUGGCGGCAUGCUCUACACAUGCAAGUCGAACGGUAACAGGCCGCAAGGUGCUGACGAGUGGCGCACGGGUGAGUAAUGCAUCGGAACGUGCCCAGUCGUGGGGGAUAACUACUCGAAAGAGUAGCUAAUACCGCAUACGAUCUAUGGAUGACAGCGGGGGACCGUAAGGCCACGCGCGAUUGGAGCGGCCGAUGUCAGAUUAGGUAGUUGGUGGGGUAAAGGCUCACUAAGCCAACGAACUGUAGCUGGUCUGAGAGGACGACCAGCCACACUGGGACUGAGACACGGCCCAGACGCCUACGGGAGGCAGCAGUGGGGAAUUUUGGACAAUGGGCGCAAGCCUGAGCCAGCAAUGCCGCGUGCAGGAAGAAGGCCUUCGGGUUGUAAACUGCUUUUGUACGGAACGAAACGGCUCUGGUUAAUACCCGGGGCUAAUGACGGUACCGGAAGAAUAAGCACCGGCUAACUACGUG
RNAcentral lists this ribosomal RNA (482 nucleotides) under uncultured bacterium. RNAcentral describes it as "partial 16S ribosomal RNA". It matches the Rfam family "Bacterial small subunit ribosomal RNA", at positions 29 to 507 of the family's 1533-position model. The record is from RNAcentral.